AUGUUCAUACUUGAAUACAGGCUAAAGAGCAGUACUGGAGAGCUUUCACCACUUAAUCAAAUGCCGUGACACCUAACGUACACAGACAAGUUCAGACAGACUUAGUAUUGUUCUGCUCAGACUCUGAGCUGGUCAGAACGAGAAACUGCUUAGCCAUGCUGGUCUGGUACUGUGCCAAAGCUAACAAGCUGUGGGCUUACCAGGAAUUUUCUGCUCCAGGACACACAGUGACCCAACUCCAAAGCAGAGAUGGUGGAUGUUUCUUUCCAAGAUACUACAGGGGUGAAUGUGAAUCUGCUUCUGCUGAUUUGUCUAUCUCUUCCACUGUGAAUCCCGAUAAAGAAGUGAUCCAGACAUUGGAAUCUGGUCUGUCACAGUAAACCAACUUGUUCUUUGAAGUCUAAUGCUUCCAUGGGAACAUAUGAGAGAGGAAACAGAAGCAUCUCAAAAAGCACAGAUUUCUGUUGAUGGAAUAUCUCUCCAGCACAUGGAUAAAAUACAAAAUAAUUUCCCCUCAUUAUUUGUAUAUAUUGCUAUCAUCAUGUAAUAACUAUUUUUUCUGCUUCCUAUGUAGGUCAAAUUUUCUUCAA
Long non-coding RNA from Passer domesticus (house sparrow), 590 nucleotides. RefSeq lists it as uncharacterized. NCBI's taxonomy places the organism in Eukaryota, Metazoa, Chordata, Aves, Passeriformes, Passeridae. The transcript is spliced from 4 exons. The record is from RefSeq and is a predicted model, not a curated record.